This 434-nucleotide ribosomal RNA is filed under the name uncultured bacterium. RNAcentral describes it as "partial 16S ribosomal RNA". It matches the Rfam family "Bacterial small subunit ribosomal RNA", at positions 29 to 507 of the family's 1533-position model. The record is from RNAcentral.
AGCGAACGCUGGCGGCAGGCCUAACACAUGCCAGUCGAACGAACCUUUCGGGGUUAGUGGCGUACGGGUUAGUAACCCGUCGGGACGUGCCCUUAGGGUCGGCAUACCUAAGGGACACUUGUGCUAUUACCGAAUGUGCGCUACUACCGAAAGAUUUAUUGCCCUUAGUGCGGCCCGCGUCUGAUUAGCUCGUUGUGUGAGUUAAUGGCUCAUCCGCGCUACAUUCACUAGCUGGUCUGAGAGGAUGGUCAGCCACAUUGGCAGUGAGACACGGCACAAACUCCUACGGGAGGCAGCAGUGGGGAAUCUUGCGAAAUGGGCGAAAGCCUGACGCAGUCAUGCCGGGUGAAUGAUGAAGGUAGUAGGAUUGUAAAAUUCUUUCACCUGGGACGAUAAUGACGGUACCCGGAGAAGAAGCCCCGGCUAACUUCGUG